Molecule: ribosomal RNA, 251 nt
Filed under: uncultured bacterium
Lineage: Bacteria
Description: partial 16S ribosomal RNA
Rfam family: Bacterial small subunit ribosomal RNA
Source: RNAcentral
UACGGAGGGUGCAAGCGUUAUCCGGAUUUACUGGGUUAAAGGGUGCGCAGGCGGAUAUGUAAGUCAGUGGUGAAAUCUCUAGGCUUAACCUGGAAAUUGCCGUUGAUACUAUAUAUCUUGAAUGCUGUGGAGGUAAGCGGAAUAUGUCAUGUAGCGGUGAAAUGCUUAGAUAUGACAUAGAACACCUAUUGCGAAGCAGCUUACUACGCAGAUAUUGACGCUCAUGCACGAAAGCGUGGGGAUCAAACAGG